UCCCAUCCGGCCCGGGCACUCCACUUUCUGCCCGCUCCGGAUCAAAAAAAGGAGGAAAAAUACCCGCCCGGCUCGCGGUGCGGCAGUGUGGAGACCUGCCGUAAAGCGGCGCGGCCCAGAGCGGCCGGCCGUGAGGGACCAGCAUGCGGAUGCACUGGUCCCGGAGCCUCAAUGCUAUGGCA
Molecule: non-coding RNA, 182 nt
Submitted as: unclassified sequences
Source: Rfam